This 498-nucleotide ribosomal RNA is filed under the name uncultured bacterium. RNAcentral describes it as "partial 16S ribosomal RNA". It matches the Rfam family "Bacterial small subunit ribosomal RNA", at positions 28 to 507 of the family's 1533-position model. The record is from RNAcentral.
GACGAACGCUGGCGGCGUGCCUAAUACAUGCAAGUCGAACGAGAGCACCCGGUGCUUGCACUGGUCAAUCUAGUGGCGAACGGGUGAGUAACACGUGGGUAACCUGCCCAUCAGAGGGGGAUAACAUCCGGAAACGGAUGCUAAAACCGCAUAGGUCUUCGAACCGCAUGGUUUGAAGAGGAAAAGAGGCGCAAGCUUCUGCUGAUGGAUGGACCCGCGGUGCAUUAGCUAGUUGGUGAGGUAACGGCUCACCAAGGCCGUGAUGCAUAGCCGACCUGAGAGGGUGAUCGGCCACAUUGGGACUGAGACACGGCCCAAACUCCUACGGGAGGCAGCAGUAGGGAAUCUUCCGCAAUGGACGCAAGUCUGACGGAGCAACGCCGCGUGAGUGAAGAAGGUUUUCGGAUCGUAAAACUCUGUUGUUAGAGAAGAACAAGUGCUAGAGUAACUGUUAGCGCCUUGACGGUAUCUAAACAGAAAGCCACGGCUAACUACGUG